Transfer RNA from Loxodonta africana (African savanna elephant), 71 nucleotides. It matches the Rfam family "tRNA". From Rfam's summary of the family: Transfer RNA (tRNA) molecules are approximately 80 nucleotides in length. Lineage: Eukaryota; Metazoa; Chordata; Mammalia; Proboscidea; Elephantidae. The record is from Rfam.
GCAUUGGUGGUUCAGUGGUAGAAUUCUCACCUUUCAUGCAGGAGAUCUGGGUUCAAUUCUUGGCCAAUGUA